RNAcentral lists this long non-coding RNA (2503 nucleotides) under Scophthalmus maximus (turbot). RNAcentral describes it as "lncRNA (ENSSMAG00000023489.1)". The record is from RNAcentral. Lineage: Eukaryota; Metazoa; Chordata; Actinopteri; Pleuronectiformes; Scophthalmidae.
UUAACAGUGAAUAAAAUGAAGGGAAAUGGAAAAGUGAAUACAUCCUCAUUCUCCAUGACCACAAGCUGGACAACAUAACGGUAUGCUGCUCCACCCCCCUGCCCACCGCUGAUCGAUGCACCGCGGUGCCUGCUGGGUAUUGAAGUCUUUACCGCGCAAACAGGAGCCGCGCUCGCAACGCCCGCAGAGGAGAUGCAGCCCCCGCCGAGAACUACCGGUACCGAGAUGCCCGGGCCCGGGACGGUUUCCGGUUAGUGCGUGAAAUGUUUGGACCCGGUGCUGGAUGGAAGACGGGGAGAGUGAGGUGAGAGGAGAUGACCGGGGUCUGCUGCUCUUAAAUCGGCUGUAUCUCGUUCCAAAGGAGGAGGCGGAGGAGGGUAAGUCACGGGGGGGGUCUUGUGGGAGAGAAACGCGCCUCCGUUUGGAGGGAACACGUCCCCGCGGACAAUCAACUUAAGUUGCGCUCUAACUUGACACAACGCGACGUUUCUCCCGAACGCGUCGGUCCUCUGCUGACCGUCGCUGCAACACGUCGCGUGUCUCUGCUGCUCCCGUUCACAGCUGCAGCUUCUCCACCUCAAACUCCAUUUUUCCACGGAUGCUCUGCAGAGGCGUCCACGCACAACAAAGGAUGCGGGUGAUAUCCGGGAUGUGGAUGAUGGUGCUCGUCGCUGCCCGCACCCUCGGGCUGUGUCUCCUUCCCCCCAUGGCGUGUCAGAUAUUACGAAACAAUAAAUACAUAUAUUACAAACCUUUGUGGACGCAUUUCCCUGUGUGCUACAUCGCAUACUGAUUGCACCAGGAAAAAAAAUCAGUUCCAAACAUAGAGCCGAUCACUUUGAAUAAUCUGUAGCUUUAAAUGUACACGCCUCCAAAUUAAUGACAUGACUUUGCUUCACGGUUGAUCUGCAUGUCGCUUGGCUAUAUGACUAAACUGUCAGCAGCGAAUGAUGAGACCGCGUAUAGCGGUGAUUUCUAUUCUAAUGUGGCAUUUUGUACAAAAAACGUCGCAAUACGCUUUCGGCGGUACUUUUAUUUUGAAACGUGAGACCGGAACUCGCCGUGGUCAACUGAGGCUGACUUUACUCUGGUCUCCCGUUCACCCAUCAGCAGCAUCUCGAGUCCACGGGCGCGAGAUCCAUGCACACACACGCACGCGCGCGCACACACACACACACGGAGAGAGGGUGGUCGAUGUCGACGGCCCCGUGUUCUCCUCCUGCACCGGGAGCAACGACGGUCGCUUUCUAAUUGGAUGCUCUCCGCGCGAUGGAGACCCGAGUCGACCUCCCAGAGGGGUUAAGAUGGGUGGAGCUGCCGUCAUCCUCAUCAUCAGGAGACCUGAAUGAAUACUGCUACACUGCUCCCACCCCCCACCUCAUCCAUGACUUUCUACUGUGAACCGUCGACUGCUGUGCCUCAAACUCUGUAAUGGAAAAUCGUGGUGAGUACCAAGUCGCUCGUUGUGGUUUGUUAAGUGCAGUGUGUUAAUGCUUGUGGUCAGAGCUGUAGAUCCGCUCAUCUCUCUCUGUACAUUUCACUGUGUUAACGGAGUCUGUCUAGCCUCGCACGUUUUUACGAGCCACUCAGGACUGCGACCAUACAUUUCUCAACCUCAGGCCCUGACUGAGGAUCAGUUUCCAGUGUCACCGCUUGGCUUUUCAGGGUUUUUUCCCUCGUCAUCACGGGCCUGAGUUAUGCGGUGUGUUGCAGAAGACACACUCUAGUGAAUAUCUGUUGUAUCCCUGUUUAAGACUCUCUGUGAAUAUUAAGAAUAUGAGUUUUUGUGUGUUAUUCAGCUUCAGACGAACCUUGAUUGUGUUUACUUUUGGAUUUCUGUCAGCCAGUUCCCUUAUAUUAAAAAUGAAUCUGCCAAAACAAAGCAGUUAGAUAUGCCCAAAUGUGCGUACACUAAGCCAUCCCUUGUGACUAUCGCUCAUAAGACUUCCCAUGGCUACUUCACAAUAAAAGCCUUACACGACUCUCAAUCCUGCAGGACUGUGAUAAACAUCGACAGGAUAUUUAGGAUUCGCACUCUAGCGGCAGAGUUAAACAUUUUGGGAAAUAUACUUAUUUGCUUUUCCUUCCAAGAGAUUGGUGAGAAGAUUGACACCAGCACCUCUGGAGGUCUCCCACACAUUACCUUUACAUCGUUUCAUCUUAUUUAUUUCAUCCAUAAAAAAAAAGUAUAAUAACAGUUUGUUGUUUUACAGGAGGUUAUGUGUUGGAAUAUUUCUCUGACUUCCAGGUGUAGGUUUUGUUACCUUGUUACCAGGAUUGCUGUAUUCCUCCUGUUUUUAGUAUAUGCUAAGCUAAGUUUAUGGUUAAACUGUAAAAUAUCAAGCCUCAAUUACAUUUCUUUGUCAUAAUUGUUUGAUAAUGCUUAGGAAUCAUUGCCCAAGGUAAAAAAAAUACUCAGUCAGGGUUUAAUGUCAAUAUACAGUUAAAACUCAUCUUAUACAAAAAUAUGAAUAAUUCUCUAUUUGAAAACAUUUUUUAAAAA